GGAGGGUAUAGCUCAGUGGUAGAGUGUUAGCUUUGCAUGCGUGAGGUCCUGGGUUCAAUCCCCAGUACCUCCA
Non-coding RNA from Camelus dromedarius (Arabian camel), 73 nucleotides. The record is from the annotation of a RefSeq genome assembly. NCBI's taxonomy places the organism in Eukaryota, Metazoa, Chordata, Mammalia, Artiodactyla, Camelidae.